Molecule: ribosomal RNA, 1481 nt
Filed under: Enterococcus faecium
Lineage: Bacteria; Bacillati; Bacillota; Bacilli; Lactobacillales; Enterococcaceae
Description: bacterial SSU rRNA
Rfam family: Bacterial small subunit ribosomal RNA
Source: RNAcentral
GACGAACGCUGGCGGCGUGCCUAAUACAUGCAAGUCGAACGCUUCUUUUUCCACCGGAGCUUGCUCCACCGGAAAAAGAGGAGUGGCGAACGGGUGAGUAACACGUGGGUAACCUGCCCAUCAGAAGGGGAUAACACUUGGAAACAGGUGCUAAUACCGUAUAACAAUCGAAACCGCAUGGUUUUGAUUUGAAAGGCGCUUUCGGGUGUCGCUGAUGGAUGGACCCGCGGUGCAUUAGCUAGUUGGUGAGGUAACGGCUCACCAAGGCCACGAUGCAUAGCCGACCUGAGAGGGUGAUCGGCCACAUUGGGACUGAGACACGGCCCAAACUCCUACGGGAGGCAGCAGUAGGGAAUCUUCGGCAAUGGACGAAAGUCUGACCGAGCAACGCCGCGUGAGUGAAGAAGGUUUUCGGAUCGUAAAACUCUGUUGUUAGAGAAGAACAAGGAUGAGAGUAACUGUUCAUCCCUUGACGGUAUCUAACCAGAAAGCCACGGCUAACUACGUGCCAGCAGCCGCGGUAAUACGUAGGUGGCAAGCGUUGUCCGGAUUUAUUGGGCGUAAAGCGAGCGCAGGCGGUUUCUUAAGUCUGAUGUGAAAGCCCCCGGCUCAACCGGGGAGGGUCAUUGGAAACUGGGAGACUUGAGUGCAGAAGAGGAGAGUGGAAUUCCAUGUGUAGCGGUGAAAUGCGUAGAUAUAUGGAGGAACACCAGUGGCGAAGGCGGCUCUCUGGUCUGUAACUGACGCUGAGGCUCGAAAGCGUGGGGAGCAAACAGGAUAGAUACCCUGGUAGUCCACGCCGUAAACGAUGAGUGCUAAGUGUUGGAGGGUUUCCGCCCUUCAGUGCUGCAGCUAACGCAUUAAGCACUCCGCCUGGGGAGUACGACCGCAAGGUUGAAACUCAAAGGAAUUGACGGGGGCCCGCACAAGCGGUGGAGCAUGUGGUUUAAUUCGAAGCAACGCGAAGAACCUUACCAGGUCUUGACAUCCUUUGACCACUCUAGAGAUAGAGCUUCCCCUUCGGGGGCAAAGUGACAGGUGGUGCAUGGUUGUCGUCAGCUCGUGUCGUGAGAUGUUGGGUUAAGUCCCGCAACGAGCGCAACCCUUAUUGUUAGUUGCCAUCAUUCAGUUGGGCACUCUAGCAAGACUGCCGGUGACAAACCGGAGGAAGGUGGGGAUGACGUCAAAUCAUCAUGCCCCUUAUGACCUGGGCUACACACGUGCUACAAUGGGAAGUACAACGAGUCGCGAAGUCGCGAGGCUAAGCUAAUCUCUUAAAGCUUCUCUCAGUUCGGAUUGCAGGCUGCAACUCGCCUGCAUGAAGCCGGAAUCGCUAGUAAUCGCGGAUCAGCACGCCGCGGUGAAUACGUUCCCGGGCCUUGUACACACCGCCCGUCACACCACGAGAGUUUGUAACACCCGAAGUCGGUGAGGUAACCUUUUGGAGCCAGCCGCCUAAGGUGGGAUAGAUGAUUGGGGUG